Lolium perenne is the source of this 4157-nucleotide non-coding RNA. NCBI's taxonomy places the organism in Eukaryota, Viridiplantae, Streptophyta, Magnoliopsida, Poales, Poaceae. The record is from RefSeq and is a predicted model, not a curated record.
AUAAAUGUUGAUAGAGUACCCGGCCAUCUAGGGGGUCUGAAAGGGGCAAAUCCAUCGCGAGCGUCCAUUGGCCAGGGGACAGUAAAUUCAUCCGCCCGCUUUUCAUCACGUCCGUCCGAUGCAGUAAUUUUUUGUUCACUCGUUUCCCUUCCAACUAAGUCAAUGACGUGUGGGACUGAUACAUGCGGGUCCAACGGCCAGAGGCAGCCACGCGCGAUCGUUUGUGUCGCCUUCAUUCUCCGGUCCGCGGGGCAGCGGUGAAAACCUAGAUCGCGAGCUCCCCAAUCCCGUGCUCGCCUCCACCUCCCCAAUCCCCGCCCCUCCUCUCCUCCACCCACACCACUGCAUCCCCAGCUCGGCGGCGGCGCAUCUGGUAGAAGCAAAUGGAGUAGAACGUGCGGCGAGAUCAAGGAGGGUAGAUGGCGGCGGCGACCGGAGGCGCCGGGCGCGGCCAGGGACGGGGCGACGCGGGCGGAUCCGCGACGACCGAGAGCGGCGGUGGCGGCGGCGACCGGAGGCGCCGGCGCGGCCAGGGACGGGCCGACGCGGGCGGAUCCGCGACGACCGGAGGCGGCGGUGGCGGCGGCGACCGGAGGCGACGGUCGCGGACAGAGACGGGCCGGAGUGGGGGCGGCCGCCUCAAGAGGAAGGAGCUGGGAGACCGGCGGCCGCCGCGCAUCGGCGACCUCGGCCUCCCCGCGCAUCCUCCUGGCGGAGCCACCACCGUGGCGGUGCAGAGUAGAGUGAUGAGCAGCAGGAGCUCGCCGGGCGUGUGCUCACCACCUGCGGGGGGCACGCUUCCGUCCCCCACGCCCCUCCUCCUCGUCUCGUUGUUCCUCUCUGUCAUGCAGAUGUUCAUUGCAUUGGAGAGAGAGGACAGCAAGAAUUUGUUGGAUGUUUACCCGGGAUGAUUUUUUCAUUGCAUUGGAGGGAGAGGACAACAGGAGCAAGAGAGCAAGACUUGCUGGAUGUUUGCCCUGACUAGCAGCCUGGAGGUAUGGAGGUACCUCGCAGUUUUGUUGAUGACUGGAUGCAAGGCAUGAUCAAGAGUAUGCCAGACUAUAAAUUUAUUUAGCUGAAUCCUCUUAUAUGAAGCAAGUGCAUAUAUUACAUAAGGGACAUGGAGCCACAUCCAUUGCCAAUAAGAUCAUUUUUUGCAUGGUGAGUCGUAGAUCCUCCUCAUGUUUGUUUUAUUCAACAUGAUUAUUUUCAAGUGCCUCUCUAUGAUUUGACGGUCUGGUGAUGAAUUUACGGCAGCUGUAUAUGUCCAUUUGGGCUGGGUAAUUAGUCUUUGAAACUAAGGUACUGUGAUUUGGGGUUGUAUGCAUUAUUUUCUCAAGCAGCUCCAUUUAGUUAUUGUUUGUAAAAAAGUUAUUAGUUUCAGUACAGGGUCGUAGCUUUUUGGUGGCAUUCCAAGGAAGAACACCACUUGGCUUGAGGAUCCUUCAUAGAUACCCUUCUGAAUUUCUGUCCUACUUCCAUUACUACCGCUCACUACAUUUUGAGAACAAUCCAGACUAUCAAUAGAUGUGGUGUUUCCAUUAUUCUUCUCUCAUGAAAGCCUGCAGUUCUAAAUCAUGGUUUAUAAUUCCAUUAUGGAACUUUGGAGACGGAGGUACGAUGGUGGCCAGAUGGGGUUUGAGACAAGAGGAAAGGUUGGAUGGAGCUUUGAGGGCCUCUGGUUUGGUGGCGGCAUGUGCCUAUCAUGGAGGAAGUGGUUACAAUAUCCAUUUGAAAGAUGGAGUCGGCACAAAAUAAGUUCAUGAUCUUGCCCUACCAUAAAUCCAUGUAUGUCUUGGCCUGAGUGGCGGGAUAUGGAGCAGGAGUGGCGGGAUCCAGGGUAGGACAGGCGCGAUCUUGUCGUGCUGGUCCUCCUCUUCGUUGCUGCUGCGCUGCUCCCUCCUCCUCGUGGCUGCCUCUUCUCCUCCCAUGUAGGGAGCAGACAUGCAGAUAUGGGAGAAGGUGCUCAUGGGACUCGAUGCCGAUGUCAAGGAAAAGCAAUAGCUCGUUUUAUCUAUGGCGACCUUGGCACUGAAUUAACAUGUGCCAAGCCAAAUGGCUUCUUGAAUUUAGUUACCAGUUUGAUGGACCUUUAUACACAUGGAAAAAAUAGGUGCUAUUCUACAGACAAUAUUUCGGUGUCUGACCUUUAUCCUUUUUUUUAGGUAUUUCAGUUUGAUCAUAUACUGCAGGGCACUGAUUUUGUUGCGUACUUGUUAAUGUUGAUUUGUAAUAUUCAACAAGUACAUCUAGGUUGAUACCUUCACUCCUGCAACCGAGAGAGGGCUUCCAGUCACAAGGAUUGUUAGACACAUGCCCCUGCAGGAUAUUCUUGCUCGUGUGGUUGGCGAUGUUCCUAUAAUGAGCAAUCACCAUGUAGUCGAUUUUACAGAUGCUGGCAACAAGGUGAAUGAACAGGUGCUAAUGUGGAUAUACAUUUCAUUCCAAAAAAACUCAGAGGGCUGAUUCAAUUCCAAACAUGCAGUCAAUUAUUGCUGCUUUAGAUGGGGAAAUGGUGGCUCAUGGAGAUCUGGGUGUUCAACUUCCAGUUGAUGAAGUACCUUUACUACAGUUCUCAAAGGAUAUAAGAAAGCUAGGGAGAUGCAAUCACAGGUGAUGAUAACGGUGAAGCAAUAGUUUUGUUGUUGCCGCAACCUACAAGUUAUUGCAGGGAUCUGUGUAAAUCAGGAAUGACGCUUGGUUCAGGCCAGGCGAUGGAGAAUCACUGCUGAAGGCGAUAUUGCAGCCAUCAUCAUGGCUGGUCCUAAGCUCUAGGUGAGUUCUUUUUUAGGGAAAUAAUUAUCUACUACCUUAGUUUAUUGACAUGAAUGUAUUUGUGUGACAUUGCAUUGGUACUCAAACCCGACUAAAGUGUCACUGGUAGUGCUACUUUGUUUGUGUCUUCAGCACAAGUUGGAGACUAACCGUCUAACCCAUCUUAGCCUAAUGAUCGAAAAGUGGUACUGCCAUACAUCAGGGACUAGAAAAAUGUCAUGUUUGCUUUGAUCACUAGAUAAUGCCUUAUCACUAUUUGAUUGUAGCUUCGAAUGUUUGAUUGUAGCUUCGAACCAGUGAAUAUGUUAUGAUUGCAUUGGAUCACCAAUGACAAAGUUACUACCACAUAUCAAGUUAUGCCCUGUUGUUGUUGAACAUCCAAAAGGAGAAGUUACUAAGCUGGCAGUGAGAAGACAACUUAAGAGUAUGCUAAAGCUAGAUGAACUUGCAAAGAAUGUAAAUAAAAAACAGGUUAGCAAAUCAAGCAUGCCUUCUUGGAGAGUUAUGAAACAUAGAAAGCUGACAUGUAAUUCCAGUGCUUUUUCUACAUUUAUUUACUAACUAGGGUACUUAGGUUAUGUAGUUACUUAUAUGUAGAAGACGUUAGGUCUAAAGUGAUCUCUAAGGAAAUUCAAAGAUAUGGUUGCUUAUGCUCUGAUAUCUCUAUAAUUCAUAUCCACAUGAUACCUUCUCUAUUUGCUGUUUCUCAAUGGUUUCCAUCACUAUAAUUAUGUUCUUUACAUUCAUGUUUAUGCUGGCCUUUAGGAGAAUACUGCAGUUCAUUUGAGUGCAGUGGUUUCUUUUUUAGAUCUAUGGAACUCCAAAUUGUGAGAAUUAUUUCUUAACGUCGCCUAUUAUCUUCUCUUAAUGCAUCGUCUCAAUUUGAUCAAGCAGAAGCUCUCAAACAGUGCAGCAUACAUGUAAUGUAAUAGUCAGGAAAAGAGUAGAACUAUCGGUGCCCAUACAGUCUGUCAAUUUACUAUCAGUGCCUAUGUGUUUUAUUUCUUGCUGAUCAUUACCAUGUAUUCACUUAGUGACGCAUGGUUGCAGUUCUAGCUCAGAUUCGGGCUUUGCGCCAGUGGCGUGGCGGGUCAAUAGAGAUAUUUUGCUGCAUCGACAAUAUAUUUAUACUAUGUUGUCUCCCUUUGUUCUAUCAAAUAUGCAAUUUGUCUCCAUUAAACUCCUUUUGUAUCCGGCAAAGGUGUACAAGUUUGUAGUUGGCUCGUGUCCGAAGUGUAUCAUGUAUAUGUUUUCAUAUUUUAGACACAUGGAUAUAUGAUGGAUGUCACGCUUUUGUUUCGCUUCGGCCGAGGCGCAGCGUUGCGGUCUCGAUUUCAGCUUUGCACCAGGGCGCAACAGGUAUCAUGUGGAAAUUGUUUACA